This 76-nucleotide transfer RNA is filed under the name Cyprinus megalophthalmus. RNAcentral describes it as "tRNA-Leu". It matches the Rfam family "tRNA". From Rfam's summary of the family: Transfer RNA (tRNA) molecules are approximately 80 nucleotides in length. Their secondary structure includes four short double-helical elements and three loops (D, anti-codon, and T loops). Lineage: Eukaryota; Metazoa; Chordata; Actinopteri; Cypriniformes; Cyprinidae. The record is from RNAcentral.
ACUGGGGUGGCAGAGCUUGGUAAAUUGCGAAAGGCCUAAGCCCUUUUACCCAGAGGUUCAAAUCCUCUUCCCAGUU